Long non-coding RNA from Oxyura jamaicensis (ruddy duck), 423 nucleotides. RefSeq lists it as uncharacterized. NCBI's taxonomy places the organism in Eukaryota, Metazoa, Chordata, Aves, Anseriformes, Anatidae. The transcript has 2 exons. The record is from RefSeq and is a predicted model, not a curated record.
UGUGCUUGCAGGAAAGUUUUCAGAUGUGCACACUAGCAAGCAAAGUCACUGCUGCCACCGUCCUUUUCCUCGGACAGAACAGAGAUGUUUAGAAAGCAAUUUUAUCUGCAAGCAUGGAUUAGUGCAGGAAGAGGCAGAGAAAUUGAAAAGGGGUGACAGGCUCAGGAGCGGGGACUCAGGCGGGCAGAGGGGGGGUGAGAUGUGGUCCCUGCCCUCCCUGCCAGAGCCUCCCCAGCGCCAGGGCCUCGGGAAGAGGAGGGAAGGGUCUACAAAAGGAGACGGGCGGCCCCAUCAAGUGGCAGCUCGGCAAAUUGCAGGGAAAUGCGACUGAAUGGACUGUGCUCCAGGAGGACGGCUAAAUAUGAGACACCUAAAGGAAAGACCAGCUGAUUUGCAUCCACCUCAGCAUGAGGUAUCCCACAA